This is a non-coding RNA of Camellia sinensis, 223 nucleotides long. Lineage: Eukaryota; Viridiplantae; Streptophyta; Magnoliopsida; Ericales; Theaceae. The record is from RefSeq and is a predicted model, not a curated record.
UGAUAAGACAUCCUAUCAUUAUCUGAAUUGCAAUAUCUGGAUCUAUCUAACAACAAGGGUCUGACUGGAACUCUUCCAUCAUUGAUCGGGAAUUUGAAUCAGCUUACAACCUUAAUCCUCAUUGGUUGCAGUUUCUUUGGUCCAAUUCCGGACUCAAUAGGAUCUCUGCAGCAACUGGUCUUCUUAGCUCUGAAUGCGAACAGCUUCAGUGGACCAACCUGCU